Sturnus vulgaris (Common starling) is the source of this 116-nucleotide non-coding RNA. The record is from RefSeq and is a predicted model, not a curated record. Lineage: Eukaryota; Metazoa; Chordata; Aves; Passeriformes; Sturnidae.
UUGCUGCUGUUACUAUUCCUUUUCUUAUCUCAUUGCUGUUUCCAGUAAAUUGCUCUUAUCUUAACCCACGAUCUUUACCUUUUGUGUCUCCAAUUCUGCUCUGCAGUCUGCUGCAG